RNAcentral lists this ribosomal RNA (468 nucleotides) under uncultured bacterium. RNAcentral describes it as "partial 16S ribosomal RNA". It matches the Rfam family "Bacterial small subunit ribosomal RNA", at positions 28 to 507 of the family's 1533-position model. The record is from RNAcentral.
GACGAACGCUGGCGGCGUGCUUAACACAUGCAACUCGAACGGAAAGGCCCUGCUUUUGUGGGGUGCUCGAGUGGCGAACGGGUGAGUAACACGUGAGUAACCUGCCCUUGACUUUGGGAUAACUUCAGGAAACUGGGGCUAAUACCGGAUAGGAGCUCCUGCUGCAUGGUGGGGGUUGGAAAGUUUCGGCGGUUGGGGAUGGACUCGCGGCUUAUCAGCUUGUUGGUGGGGUAGUGGCUUACCAAGGCUUUGACGGGUAGCCGGCCUGGGAGGGUGACCGGCCACAUUGGGACUGAGAUACGGCCCAGACUCCUACGGGCGGCAGCAGUGGGGAAUAUUGCACAAUGGGCGGAAGCCUGAUGCAGCAACGCCGCGUGCGGGAUGACGGCCUUCGGGUUGUAAACCGCUUUCGCCUGUGACGAAGCGUGAGUGGCGGUAAUGGGUAAAGAAGCAGCGGCUAACUACGUG